ACCCGUUGAUCCUGCGGGAGGUCGCUACUAUUAGGGUUCGACUAAGCCAUGCAAGUCAGAGGGGCUCUUCGGAGUCACAGGCAAAAUGCUCAGUAACACGUCGUUAAUCUAACCUUAGAUCUGGAAUAACCUUGGAAAACUGAGGCUAAAACCGGAUAUGGGAAAAUAAUUGGAAAAUGUUUUCCUUUAAAAGCAAUGUCUAAGGAUGAGACGGCGGCGGAUUAGGUUGUUGGCGGGGUAAUGGCCCACCAAGCCGACGAUCCGUAGGGGCCGUGAGAGCGGUAGCCCCGAGAAGGACACUGAGAUACUGGUCCUAGCCCUACGGGGUGCAGCAGGCGCGAAACCUUUACAAUGCACGAAAGUGUGAUAAGGGAACCCUAGGUGCUCAUGUUUUACAUGGGCUUUUGCCAAGAAUAAAUAUCUUGGCGAAUAAGUGGUGGGAAAGACUGGUGCCAGCAGCCGCGGUAACACCAGCGCCACAAGUAGGGACCACUACUAUUGGGCCUAAAGCGUCCGUAGCCGGCUGAAUAAAUUUCUUGUGAAAUUGUUGGGCUUAACCUAACAACGUGCAGGAAAAACUGUUCAGCUUGGAACCGGGAGAAGUCAGGAGUAUGCUGGGGGGAGCGGUAAAAUGUUAUAAUCCCCGGUAGACUACCAGUGGCGAAGGCGCCUGACUAGAACGGAUUCGACGGUGAGGGACGAAAGCCAGGGGAGCGAAGCGGAUUAGAUACCCGUGUAGUCCUGGCCGUAAACGCUGCGAGCUAGGUGUUGCAUAUUCUACAUGAAUACGCAGUAUCGAAGCGAAGGUGAUAAGCUCGCCGCCUGGAAGUAUGGUCGCAAGGCUGAAACUUAAAGGAAUUGGCGGGGGAGCACUACAAGGGGUGCGGCGUGCGGUUUAAUCUAAUUCAACGCAGAGAAUCUCACCAGAAGCGACGGCAGGAUGAAAGUCAGGCUAAAGGUCUUACUUGACGAGCCGAGAGGUAGUGCAUGGCCGCCGUCAGCUCGUGCUGUAAAGUGUCCUGUUAAGUCAGGCAACGAGCGAGACCUGCAUCUACAAUUGCUAACGGAUUCUUUAGAAUGACUGAGCACAUUGUGGAGACUGCCCUGGAAACAGGGAGGAAGGUGCAGGCUACGGUAGGUCUGUAUGCUCCGAAUCUUCUGGGCUACACGCGCGCAACAAUGGUAAGGACAAUGGGAAGCGACUCCGAAAGGAGGAGCUAAUCCUCGAAACCUUAUCCAAGUCUAGAUUGAGGAUUGUAACUUAUCCUCAUGACAAUGGAAUCCCUAGUAAUCAGAGUUUAUCAUACUCCGGUGAACAUGUCCCUGCUCCUUGCACACACCGCCCGUCAAGCCACCCGAGUAGGGUUUAGGUGAGAGGUAAAUUUUAUUUGCAUCGAACCUAAGCUCAGCGAGGAGGGCUAAGUCGUCACAAGGUA
RNAcentral lists this ribosomal RNA (1436 nucleotides) under metagenome. Its description in RNAcentral is "bacterial SSU rRNA". It matches the Rfam family "Archaeal small subunit ribosomal RNA". The record is from RNAcentral.